Long non-coding RNA from Drosophila innubila, 606 nucleotides. RefSeq lists it as uncharacterized. NCBI's taxonomy places the organism in Eukaryota, Metazoa, Arthropoda, Insecta, Diptera, Drosophilidae. The record is from RefSeq and is a predicted model, not a curated record. The transcript has 3 exons.
CUAGAGCUAUACAUUAUUCAAAUUAACUUUUCAACAUGCUUAAAGAAUUAAAGGAAGCGGUUUAUGCCUGGAGCUAUAAAUUCUAUCGUUGUGCUCAGUUGGUAACAGUUUUGGCCAUACCAUAUCUGGCCGUUAAGUGCCAAAUAGACAGCUUGAGUACAUUCGAUAUUUGCCUCAUGUAUGUCAGUGUGGCACUUGGGGCAUCUAACUUUCUGAACGGAGAUCUUCAGUGGCAUACUCGCAUCAGAUAAUCAGCUACCAAACUAUGGGCAUUGUUUACUAGAUAGAUCAUUAAAAAAAAUGGAGGGGAAUACUACAUGGAAAAUUUAUGUAUGCGAGCCAACUGAUUGAUGGAGCUUAAAUGAAAUUCUGUAAAUUCCGGCCAGGUUGUUUGAAAUGCUGGAGCACGCCAAGCCGACGAGACAAAGCAAUAAACUACACACGAUUUUAUAGCACAUUUUUGCUUAUAUUGUAGCUAUAUAUAUAAUUGUAAUCUCUCUAUCUGGAUUCACACUCCAAACUUCAACAGUCUCUGUUGCUCUUGUAUUUGUAUUUCAAAUUAUGUAUUAAUAUAUGCAGCUAAGCCGUGAGCAUGGACAUGCAAAA